ACCCCAUUCACGAAAAUUUACCCUAAAGUCAAUAAGAACAAGUCCCAAGCCUCAAGAACCAUACAAGGGUUUGCAACAUAAUUCUUUCCAAAGUAAUUCAAGCUAGGGUUUGGGUAUUCUUCAUUAGAAAAGUGAUUUGUUAAACCUUGUUUAACAAAUUAAGCUACUCGGGAGGAAGGGUAGCCACUAUGGAUCCUAGUGUGUCAUUGCCUAGCCAUUCGGGAGGAAGAGUGGCCACCGCUGGGUUCGCUACCUGGGGUGUGAUUCAAGCCUAGCUAUUCGGGGGGAAGGAUAGCCACCGCUGGGUUCGCUACCUGGGGU
Lycium ferocissimum is the source of this 321-nucleotide long non-coding RNA. RefSeq lists it as uncharacterized. The record is from RefSeq and is a predicted model, not a curated record. The transcript is spliced from 3 exons. NCBI's taxonomy places the organism in Eukaryota, Viridiplantae, Streptophyta, Magnoliopsida, Solanales, Solanaceae.